Molecule: long non-coding RNA, 268 nt
Filed under: Mytilus galloprovincialis (Mediterranean mussel)
Lineage: Eukaryota; Metazoa; Mollusca; Bivalvia; Mytilida; Mytilidae
Source: RNAcentral
CGGACUUCUUUAUCACUAUAACCCCCCGCUUGACAAAGUGCAUGGUGUACAGUUGAGUGUCAAAGAGACAGUUUUCUCGUUUGAAUUGUUUUACAUUGUCUUAUUGGGCCUUUUAUAGCUCACUAUGCGGUAUGGGCUUUGCUCAUUGUUGAAGGCCGUACGGUGACCUAUAGUUGUUAAUGUCUGUGUCAUUUUGGUCUUUUGUGGAUAGUUGUCUCAAUGGCAAUCAUCCCACAUCUUCUUUUUUAUAUAGCUCUACAUCUUAAAC